This 777-nucleotide ribosomal RNA is filed under the name uncultured Neocallimastigales. RNAcentral describes it as "partial large subunit ribosomal RNA". It matches the Rfam family "Eukaryotic large subunit ribosomal RNA", at positions 25 to 627 of the family's 3401-position model. Lineage: Eukaryota; Fungi; Neocallimastigomycota; Neocallimastigomycetes; Neocallimastigales. The record is from RNAcentral.
ACACUGACGUCGCGACGCAUAUCAAUAAGCGGAGGAAAAGAAACUAACAAGGAUUCCCUUAGUAACGGCGAGUGAAGCGGGAAGAGCUCAAAUUUGAAAUCUUCAAGGUUUUACCUUGACGAAUUGUAGUUUAAAGAAGUGUUUUCUGCUGAAGUUUUGGUAAAAGUUCUUUGGAAUAGGACAUCAUAGAGGGUGAGAAUCCCGUAUUUGACCAUUAUUUCCAGCUGUGUGAUACACUUUCAAAGAGUCGGAUUGUUUGGGAAUGCAGUCCAAAAUGGGUGGUAAAUUUCAUCUAAAGCUAAAUAUUGGCGAGAGACCGAUAGCGAACAAGUACCGUGAGGGAAAGAUGAAAAGAACUUUGAAAAGAGAGUUAAACAGUACGUGAAAUUGUCAAAAGGGAAGCGUUUGACACCAGUGUUGUUUUUCUGAAAAUCAAUUAAAGAACUGUUUAUGCUAAGCUGUUUAGACUUUAUCAGCUAUCCUGUUUAGUUUUGAGCUUUUCUUUAAUGCACUUUUCAGUUAACAAGUCAACAGUCAAUUUCUUUUGCUGUAAAAAAGCUUGAGGAAGGUGGCUAGAGAUUCGUCUUAAGUGUUUAUAGCCUCUUGCCUAUGCAGUCGGAGAGAUUGAGGUCUGCAGCGUAGAUCCUUCGGGGCUAAAUGCAGUUUGUGCUAAGUUAUAGCAUUUUAUAGACAACUUGUUGACUAUGAUUUGUCUUGUAGCUUACUCGCUUAUGUUAUUUUACCUACGCUUAGGAUGUUGAACUCUAUCACACACAG